GAACCGGCGAGUUACGAUUUGAUGCAAGGUUAAGCAGUAAAUGUGGAGCCGUAGCGAAAGCGAGUCUGAAUAGGGCGUUUAGUAUUUGGUCGUAGACCCGAAACCAGGUGAUCUACCCUUGGUCAGGUUGAAGUUCAGGUAACACUGAAUGGAGGACCGAACCGACUUACGUUGAAAAGUGAGCGGAUGAACUGAGGGUAGCGGAGAAAUUCCAAUCGAACCUGGAGAUAGCUGGUUCUCUCCGAAAUAGCUUUAGGGCUAGCCUCAAGUGAUGAUUAUUGGAGGUAGAGCACUGUUUGGACGAGGGGCCCCUCUCGGGUUACCGAAUUCAGACAAACUCCGAAUGCCAAUUAAUUUAACUUGGGAGUCAGAACAUGGGUGAUAAGGUCCGUGUUCGAAAGGGAAACAGCCCAGACCACCAGCUAAGGUCCCAAAAUAUAU
RNAcentral lists this ribosomal RNA (441 nucleotides) under Staphylococcus aureus. RNAcentral describes it as "partial 23S ribosomal RNA". It matches the Rfam family "Bacterial large subunit ribosomal RNA", at positions 617 to 1057 of the family's 2925-position model. Lineage: Bacteria; Bacillati; Bacillota; Bacilli; Caryophanales; Staphylococcaceae. The record is from RNAcentral.